RNAcentral lists this ribosomal RNA (498 nucleotides) under uncultured bacterium. RNAcentral describes it as "bacterial SSU rRNA". The stretch from base 130 to 498 matches the Rfam family "Bacterial small subunit ribosomal RNA", at positions 1 to 352 of the family's 1533-position model. The record is from RNAcentral.
AGAGGGAAAGAGAAUGUGGUAGAUGAGGAGUGGGAGGGUCAGGGGAAGCCGGGAAGCAACAUAAAUUACAACAAAAAAAAGAAACUAUGAUAGGAUCCAGUAGUAAUGGCCGGCCAGUGUGCCGGAAUUCGCCAUUAGAGCUUGAUCAUGGCUCAUGGUUGUACCGCUGGCGGCAGUGCGUUACACAUGCAAGUGCGUCAUCGCUAUCGGGGGCGUAUCUUGCUAGUCCGCCCGGCUAGUGCCUUACGUGCUGAGUCAAUGCCUGUGGGAGCUGCCCAUUCUGAGGGGGAUACCAGUUGGAAAGGUCCCCUAAUUCCUGCAUACGCCCUGAGGGGGAAAGGUGGGGAUCUUCGGACCUUCCGCGAUUCGGAUGCACCCAGGUUGGAUUAGCUAGUUGGUGAGGUAACGGCUCACCCAGGGGACGAUCUCUAGUUGGUCUGUGAGGAUGCCCAGCCUCGCUGGAACUGCGACGCGGUCCAGGCUCCUACGGGAGGCAGC